Molecule: ribosomal RNA, 447 nt
Filed under: uncultured bacterium
Lineage: Bacteria
Description: bacterial SSU rRNA
Rfam family: Bacterial small subunit ribosomal RNA
Source: RNAcentral
CCAGACUCCUACGGGAGGCAGCAGUGGGGGAUAUUGCACAAUGGAGGGAACUCUGAUGCAGCGACGCCGCGUGAGGGAAGAAGGUUUUCGGAUUGUAAACCUCUGUCUUCGGUGACGAAACGAGACGGUAGCCGAGGAGGAAGCCACGGCUAACUACGUGCCGGCAGCCGCGGUAAUACGUAGGUGGCAAGCGUUGUCCGGAUUUACUGGGUGUAAAGGGGGUGUAGCCGGGCCGGCAAGUCAGAUGUGAAAUCCCAAGGCUCAACCGUGGGACUGCAUUUGAAACUGUUGGUCUUGAGUAUCGGAGAGGCAGGCGGAAUUCCUAGUGUAGCGGUGAAAUGCGUAGAUAUUAGGAGGAACACCAGUGGCGAAGGCGGCCUGCUGGACGACAACUGACGGUGAGGCGCGAAAGCGUGGGGAGCAAACAGGAUUAGAUACCCUAGUAAC